Molecule: ribosomal RNA, 253 nt
Filed under: uncultured bacterium
Lineage: Bacteria
Description: partial 16S ribosomal RNA
Rfam family: Bacterial small subunit ribosomal RNA
Source: RNAcentral
UACGUAGGGGGCUAGCGUUGUCCGGAAUCAUUGGGCGUAAAGAGCGUGUAGGCGGCCCGGUAAGUCCGCUGUAAAAGUCAAAGGCUCAACCUUUGAAUGUCAGUGGAUACUGCCGGGCUAGAGUCCGGAAGAGGCGAGUGGAACUCCUGGUGUAGCGGUGGAAUGCGCAGAUAUCAGGAGGAACACCAAUGGCGAAGGCAGAUCUCUGGGCCGUAACUGACGCUGAGGAGCGAAAGCAUGGGGAGCGAACAGG